RNAcentral lists this ribosomal RNA (403 nucleotides) under bacterium. RNAcentral describes it as "partial 16S ribosomal RNA". It matches the Rfam family "Bacterial small subunit ribosomal RNA", at positions 355 to 776 of the family's 1533-position model. The record is from RNAcentral.
UGGGGAAUAUUGCACAAUGGAGGGAACUCUGAUGCAGCGACGCCGCGUGAACGAAGAAGGCUUUCGAGUCGUAAAGUUCUUUUAUAUGGGAAGAUAAUGACGUUACCAUAAGAAAAAGCCCCGGCUAACUACGUGCCAGCAGCCGCGGUAAUACGUAGGGGGCUAGCGUUGUCCGGAAUCACUGGGCGUAAAGGGUUCGCAGGCGGAAAUGCAAGUCAGGUGUAAAAGGCAGUAGCUUAACUACUGUAAGCAUUUGAAACUGCAUAUCUUGAGAAGAGUAGAGGUAAGUGGAAUUAUUGGUGUAGCGGUGAAAUGCAUAGAUAGUAAAAAGAAUACCGGUGGCGAAGGCGACUUACUGGGCUCAUUCUGACGCUGAGGAACGAAAGCGUGGGUAGCAAGCAGG